Molecule: long non-coding RNA, 1425 nt
Organism: Panicum virgatum (switchgrass)
Lineage: Eukaryota; Viridiplantae; Streptophyta; Magnoliopsida; Poales; Poaceae
Exons: 2
Source: RefSeq, a predicted model, not a curated record
AUGAAAGCUACUGAUCAUCUGCAAUCACCAUUCACUCUAGCUAGCUGCUACUUUCUAAGAGCAUCUCCAACCAAGCCCUCAGGUGCUCCCUCAUCCUACUUUAGAGGGUCGAAACGCAAAAAAGUGUCUCCAACGACACCCUCAACCCACCCCCGACGGAUGAGAGAGCCCUCAUCUUCACAGGGCGACCUCCCACAUGUAGGAGAGAGAAACAACUCUCUCAUCUGCGGGCUGUCGCAGCUGCCGGCUCUCCCGCGCCGGCACGGAGAUCUCCCGCCAGAUUCGGCAUACGGAGAAUAUAUAGGAGGUAAUAUAACCGACGUUGGAUGCCACAAACAAGGUAGAUCGGUGCCGCCAUGAACCUUCCCCGGAUCUGGAGAGAUGGAGGCACCAAGCAAAGCAGACGUGGGUGUGGUCCAUGCGAUCCCUAUUUCAGAUCCAACACGGUGCCGGCCGGAGCCACAGUGCGUGAGGGCCACGGUCCUGCAACCAAAAGGUGGUGUGUUUCCUUUUUGUCCCUGCGCCAUCCAUCCCUGCUGGACGAACAAUGCAGCCACGAGCAAUGCUGCAACAGAACAGAUGAACCUGAUUUAUCUACCAAGUAAUAAUUUGCUUGCAAGAACAAUCCAGGCAGGAGAGACAAAGACGGCGAUGAUCGUUGGUGCCUUAGCUUCUUUCUGUUCCGAGCUACACGCAUUAUCGUUCUUAGCAUUGUGAUGCUGACAGUCAUGUGAUCAUUCAGAGGUAGUUCACGGGAUGGAAAUGGUUGUCAGACGAGUGGCGUUUUCUCAGCUAAUGUCAUGGGUUUCCUGAAUAACCUGAAGGAAGAAAAUUACCCCGGAUAACAUAAUAAAAUAAAAAGUCCAUGUCGGCCAAGAAGGGCGCCUGUAGGCACCGUCAAGCUAAUGAUUGGCCUUGCAGGUACUACGAUGAUUAGGAGAGGAAACAGGGCACCAUUAACUAGUCCAUCUGAGGAACUCAUGAUCGGCAGAGCAGCAGGCACGCGAAAUCGAUCAUGUGGCCACCAGCAGCAGUGGAACUGACGGCAGCCGGCGAUGGUGUGGCCUCACACAGAGUCAGUGCUCAUGUGAGGCGCUGCAGUACUAGUCCGACGAACUGUAGAUGAAAGGCGUGCAUGGAACUGUCGCCGGUCAUCUCCCCCACCCACGCAAUCAAUUCGUUUCCGCCGUUUCUCUGCUCUUUUCGCCUGAUCGGAAGCAGGCUAACUGGCAAAGAAAGAAACAGGCGCCGGAUCAGGUGACUACUGGUCAGUGGGUACAAGCAAGAGCGGUAGUUUUUCAUCGUAGUAAACAAUAGAAACGGCUCCUGCCUCCCUCUCUUUUCUUCAGUUAAUUAGCUGAUCAUCCGGUGCACUUGUUUUCAUUUCCAGGCGAAAUGAGAAGAGUUAACUGAAGUUGCCCUGCA